CUCCCCCCAGCUGUCCCCUCCCCGCGGUGUCCCCAGGUCCCGUGUCCCCCCCGUGACAGGACAUGGCACACGGACACGGUGUCACCUCCCCCCGUGGGAUGGGGACAGACACAAGACACGAGGAUGGUGACGGUGACGCGGCGCCAGCGCUGGGGGACCCUCGGUGACAGCCCCGCCCCCAGCCCGGCCACCCCCCCGGGGGGACAAGGGUGGCACCUCCAGGGGGAGGGGACAGAGCCGAUGGUGGCACCUGGGGGGACACGGGGACACCUGGGGUGGUGUCACCUGAGUGUCCCCAAAGUGUCCUCAGUGUCCUCAAGGGACAUGGGGACACCUGAGAGGACAUGGGGACACCAGGGGUGGUGUCACCAACGUGUCCUCAGUGUCCUCAAGGGACAUGGGGACAUCAGGAGUGACAUGGGGACACCUGGGGUGGUGUCCCCAAAGUGUCCCCAAAGUGUCCUCAGUGUCCUCAAGGGACAUGGGGACACCUGGGAUGGUGUCACCAACGUGUCCUCAGUGUCCUCAAGGGACAUGGGGACACCUGAGGGGACAUGGGGACACCUGGGGUGGUGUCACCAAAGUGUCCCCAAAGUAUCCUCAGUGUCCUCAAGGGACAUAGGGACAUCAGGAGGGACAUGGGGACACCUGGGGUGGUGUCCCCAAAGUGUCCCCAGUGUCCACAAGGGACAUGGGGACAUCAGGAGGGACAUGGGGACACAAGGGGUGGUGUCCCCAAAGUGUCCCCAGUGUCCACAAGGGACAUGGGGACACCAGGAUCCGCAUGCCCAGGUGACACAGGGACAUGGGAGGGACAGGAGGACACCAGGAGGGACAUGGGGACAUUCCAGAUCCGUGUCCCCAAGGGUUCCCAGUGUCCCUUGGGGACACAGGAGGGACAUGGGGACACCAGGAGGGAUGUGGGGACACUGGGGGUGGUGUCCCCAAGGAGUCCUGAGGGACAUGGGGACAUCAAAGGAGGACACCUCGGUCCAUGUCCCCAGGGACAUGGGGACACCAGGAGGGACAUGGGGACACCCGGAUCUGUGUCCCCAAGGGUCCCCAGCGUCCCUUGGGGACACCAGGAGGGACAGGAGGACACCAGGAGGGACACAGGGACAUCAGGAGGGACAUGGGGACACCGGGGUGGUGUCCCCAAGGGGUCCUGAGGGACAUGGGGACACCUCGGUCCAUGUCCUCAAGGACAUGGGGACACGGGAGGGACAUGGGGACACCUGGAUCCGUGUCCCCAAGGGUCCCCAAUGUCCUUUGAGGACAUCAAAGGGUCUUGGGGACAUCUGGAUCUGUGUCCCCAAGGACAUGGGGACACCAGGAGGGACAUGGGGACAUCAGGAGGGACAUGGGGACAGGAAAGGGACAUGGGGACACCUUGGUCCAUGUCCCCAAGGGUCCCCAAUGUCCUUUGGGGACAUCCAAGGGUCUUGGGGACAUCUGGACCUGUGUCCCCAAGGGUCCCCAGUGUCUCUGAGGGACAUGGGGACACCUCGGUCCAUGUCCCCAAGGACAUGGGGACACCAGGAGGGACAUGGGGACACCAGGAGGGACAUGGGGACACCAAGAUCCAUGUCCCCAAGGGUCCCCAGUGUCCCCUGGGGACACAGGAGGGACAUGGGGACACAGGAGGGACAUGGGGACAUUCCAGAUCCGUGUCCCCAAGGGUCCCCAAUGUCCUUUGGGGACAUCCAAGGGUCUUGGGGACAUCUGGAUCUGUGUCCCCAAGGGUCCCCAGUGUCUCUGAGGGACAUGGGGACACCAGGAGGGACAUGGGGACACCUCGGUCCAUGUCCCCAGGGGACAUGGGGACACAGGAGGGACAUGGGGACAGGAAAGGGACAUGGGGACAUUCCAGAUCUUUGUCCCCAGUGUCCUCUGGGGAUACGGGAAGGACAUGGGGACACGGGAGGGACACGGGGACAGGAAAGGGACAUGGGGACAUUCCGGAUCCGUGUCCCCGCGGUUCCCGAUGUCCCUUGGGGACAGGAAAGGGACAUGGGGACAUUCCGGAUCCGUGUCCCCGCGGGUCCCCGGCGUCCCUUGGGGACAGGAAAGGGACAUGGGGACAUUCCGGAUCCGUGUCCCCGCGGGUCCCCGAUGUCCCCAGGGGUUCCCGAUGUCCCCAAGGGACACA
This is a long non-coding RNA of Cyanistes caeruleus (blue tit), 2149 nucleotides long. Lineage: Eukaryota; Metazoa; Chordata; Aves; Passeriformes; Paridae. The record is from Ensembl.